UUUCCACAUUCACACAUGUCAUAGUGUGUUCUUAGUAAACAAUUAUAAGUGAAUUUAUAAAAGUGAGAGCUAGAUUGGUCCUGAUUCUGCAAGGAGAGCUGUACACAGGAGACCUCUGUGCUGGCAUGGAGCUUGUUGUAGGAUCUGGGUUGUGGACUAUUAUAUGUGAGGAUACAAAGGCUAAAAUUAAGGAAAAUACAUAGCUCAGACAUGACGGAUUUUCUGAUCACUCGUUAACUCAAUAGAAUGCUACCUCAUUUGCAUUUAUACCUAAAAAUUAGGGUUGUGUGAUUUAUUUUAGAAAACAAUUAUUGGGAAAUACUUUAAACUACAACAAAUAGGCAGGAUGGGCCGAAGCUGCUUCCCAGCAAUUUGGAGCAAGUCAAAACUACUAUGUGAGUCAAUCAACCAAAAGUGAAUGCAAUUACUGAAUAUCAAAUGUAGACCAGAGAGACUAAUUUAAUUACAGAGGCUACAGGGAUAGUGCUUGGAGACGAAGCAGCACAAUGCGGAAAUUAAGAUUAAUCAAAUAUUUUAUCAGGAAAAAGAAGAAAUUAUUUUCAAGCAAUGACCAAGUGCCUUCCCUGCCUGUUGCUUUAUGUUAGUUCCAUCUCAAGAAAUCAGUUUGCUGUUCCCCUUCUCUGUACAGGAUUGUUUUAUUAUCUCCUAUUAUUUGCUUUUAUCAAGAUUUUCCAAAGCAGGUGUUUGCUCCAUCUGAUGGAAAGUGCCUGCUGUCUGAACUCCACAAAACCUGCUGCAUUCCUGGAACAUCUACAGUUAAGAUGAGCUGGCAGAAGGCAAAGAGGGAGAGUAAAGAUGACAGCAUAGGUGAUAUGAAACAUGGAAGGAAAAAGAGAGAGCGUCUGUUUAAGAAAAGGUUUUCUGCACUGAAUUUCUUCUCUCGGCCUUCCAAGAGUAAACUCCAUCAGGGGAGGAAUCGGGUUUUUGAAGACAAGAAGAGAUGCUUACACAGGAAAGGUUCCAAAAAAAUUAAGCCCCCAAGGGAGGAAAUGUGUUCUCUAAGGCAGCCACACUCGGGGAAAAUGUGUCCGAAAUGUGAAAUCAUCAUCUGCCGGAAGUGUGAGACACUGCACUCAGAAAGCAGUUUCAUUGCCCACAGCUUAUUGGAUCACUAUGACAAAGGAGAUGCCUGCUGCCACCAUGGAUAUAGGGAUGAUCAAGGACUCACAGUAGAUCCCUUGUUUAAGCAAGAUGUUGAAGCUUCAAAACAUUAAAACUCCAGCCCUACACUUGGAUCCAUAUAGGCUCAGCUUGGAGUCAGCAUGGAUCUGAAAGCAGGCCUGGGGUCUAAAAUUGCAUUGUAUUGCAUUGCAUGCUUGCUACAUAUACCAGCUGCACACUGAAUAACCUAAAUAUUGUGCACUCUUCAUAUGUAAAGUAGUUUAUAAGUGUGAGCUGAAAGCUUUUUAGGCCUACUAGGACCCAUGUUUGCUCUGUAAUAGCAUACUCUUAAAAUGUAUAGAAUUCUCUAUGAAACAAGUUUAUCAGCUGCAGCAGUAGUAGUGCAGAAUCCUAGAUGCAGAUCUUGACAGUGAAUGAAGAAUUUUGGUUUAUAUUAUAUUUGUUGGUAAGGUGUAGAGCUGUUCAGAGGUUUUUUUUUAUUACUGAUCUGGCAUAUUAAACAGUUUUAUUUAUUUUUAAACUGCAUGAGCAUGUAUGUGAAAUCAGAGAGACAGCCUCAGUGUCUCAAGUCUUCUGUUCAUCCACAGGAAUCAUUACAUCCCUCCAUUUCCCCACAAGCCAUCCUCCCACACCCUCUAUUUCAGGGACUCUCUGUAGCUUCUCUUGCCAUCUUCCCAUGCCUGGGGCUCUGUCUGUCCAUUCCCUACCCCCCAUUGGCAGACAGGUUGUAUGAUCUCUCAGGUUAUCAUUCCCCACUCUUCCCCCUCAUGCCAGCAGCUGUGCACACCCCCAUUCCCCUUAUCCCUCAAAGCACGUGCUAUCCCCUCUGCCCAUACAACGGUCUCCCAACUCCCCCAUCCCGCAAUGGCAGGGGCUGUGUGCACCCUCCAUUGUCUCCUUUCUGUCACAGAGAUGAGUCAUUCAGUGUGUCAACAUACUAAACUCUAUUAGGAGGAUAGGCAGAGAGGCUAGAGACGGUUAUGGUGGAAGGUGGUGUUUGUAUUACUGCAGCACCUACCAGCCUCAGUCAUGGACCAGGAUCCCACUGCACUAGGAGCUGUACUAACAAAGAAUAAGAAGGUGCCAUCAGUUUGACGUACAGACAAUUGUAAAGGUGCUUGAAGCUGUGGUUCUGCUAAACAGAGGGCAGGGGCACUUUCUACAUCUCCCAUGUUUCCCCUUAGGGUUUUGCCCAUCUCCGUCCCCAAAUAGGGUUCUGCCCCAUGCUGCCCCCAACAUUCCUUGAAAUUGUAGAAUUGACUGGAUGUGGCAUUCAAAAUUUAUAUUGCAGAAAGACAAAGAGAAAUGGUGUGUAAAGCAUCCCACGUGUGGCUAAUCAGAGUAGAGGUGCUGUUUUGCCAAACACUGUAUCUGUUCUUCUGAAGUGAAACAAAUUACAGAUGAGGCCCAGCUGCCCAUGUCAUAUUAGGAUAGCCGUCUUCCAUCUGAGAUGCCCAUCAGCAGUUAAGGCUCGAUCCUGCACCUGUAAGAGAGCCUGCAUUGCUACCAUGGUCCAUGGGAGUUUAGAGCAUUCAAGCACUUGAUAGGAUUAGCUUUAGUUGUGUAAAAUGGGCAUCUGUGGAAAAUUCUACUCUGAGUGACCAAAUGUGGCAGGUGGCUGUAGGCAUAAGGAGCCCAUAUCGGAAGAGAAGUUCAAUUAUAUGCCCAAGCAGUAAAAGUUCAUCCCUGAUCAACCUUUUUGUUAUCCCCCUGAACGCAGAAGAUUAUCUUAAGACAUAACAUGCUGAUCUGCAGGGAGCAUCUUGAAGAACAGCUUUCUUUGUAUUAUUAGAGCAGACAAAAUGUACCCAAAUGCACCUUUGCUUUUGUGCCUGAAGACAUUGUCAAUGAUACAGUUUGUAUGAUCAUGGUCAUAGUACUGAAUUGCAGCUUGCAGAUACAAAAUGCCUUGCUUUCCUAGCCAGGGGCAGCGUGGUUUGCUAACCACCUUAGAACUGGAAAAGAAACAGAAUGGUUCUAAAUCUUACCCUUAUAAAGAAAUGGCUUUAAACACUUACUAAAUAGGGGCAGUUUUGAGAACUCUGUGUGUGGGAGAUUCAGACAUACAGGCUAUCCCUUGUAUGUAUGUUAUUAAUAGCAGCCAGUAACUGCUAUUGUACUUAUUUGGAAAAAACAAUGUUCUUUAAUAAAGCUGAAGCCUCUGUGUGCAUGUGUCAGUGUUGUAAUUCAUCAUCUCAUAAAAAUCUGCAUGUUGCAUUUUUCAAGUGCAGGUUCCUCAGAUCAUAGACAAACAUUCUCAGUCCAUUUACCCUG
Dermochelys coriacea (leatherback sea turtle) is the source of this 3417-nucleotide long non-coding RNA. RefSeq lists it as uncharacterized. Lineage: Eukaryota; Metazoa; Chordata; Testudines; Dermochelyidae. The record is from RefSeq and is a predicted model, not a curated record. The transcript has 4 exons.